GCAUAAGGGCUCCACCUCUUCCCAUUCCGAACAGAGAAGUUAAACCUUAUCACGCCGAUGGUACUGCGAAAGCGGAAGAGUAGGUAAUCGCCACCU
Molecule: ribosomal RNA, 96 nt
Filed under: Bacteroidota bacterium
Lineage: Bacteria; Pseudomonadati; Bacteroidota
Also listed under: 4 other names
Source: RNAcentral